Molecule: long non-coding RNA, 347 nt
Organism: Poecilia latipinna (sailfin molly)
Lineage: Eukaryota; Metazoa; Chordata; Actinopteri; Cyprinodontiformes; Poeciliidae
Exons: 3
Source: RefSeq, a predicted model, not a curated record
AGGGAAGAACACAUUUGAAUCCAGGACAAUGCUGGGCCUUUGCAGAUUUUCCAGGACGUUUAGACAUUGCUCUGUCCCACAAAGCCAACAUAACGCAUGUGUCCCUGGGACAUAUUACAAAGAUGGUAUCCCCCACUUCCUCAAUAUCUAGUGCCCCUAGAGAAUUUUCUGUCUAUGUAAAAAGAAGCAUUUAGAAGAUGAGGAAACUUAUUUGGGAACUUUCCUGUAUGAUCAAGAUGGAGACCAAUUACAGACCUUCAAACUUCCUGAUGAGAACGUUGGUUCCUAUGGCUUUGUGACUCUAAAGGUAAAUAGUAACUGGGGUAAUCCAGAUUACACCUGCCUUU